GCCUGAUGCAGCGACGCCGCGUGAGGGAUGACGGCCUUCGGGUUGUAAACCUCUUUCACCAGGGACGAAGCGCAAGUGACGGUACCUGGAGAAGAAGCACCGGCCAACUACGUGCCAGCAGCCGCGGUAAUACGUAGGGUGCGAGCGUUGUCCGGAAUUACUGGGCGUAAAGAGCUCGUAGGUGGUUUGUCGCGUUGUUCGUGAAAACUCACAGCUCAACUGUGGGCGUGCGGGCGAUACGGGCAGACUGGAGUACUGCAGGGGAGACUGGAAUUCCUGGUGUAGCGGUGGAAUGCGCAGAUAUCAGGAGGAACACCGGUGGCGAAGGCGGGUCUCUGGGCAGUAACUGACGCUGAGGAGCGAAAGCGUGGGGAGCGAACAGGAUUAGAUACCCUGGUAGUCCACGCCGUAAACGGUGGGUACUAGGUGUGGGUUUCCUUCCUUGGGAUCCGUGCCGUAGCUAACGCAUUAAGUACCCCGCCUGGGGAGUACGGCCGCAAGGCUAAAACUCAAAGAAAUUGACGGGGGCCCGCACAAGCGGCGGAGCAUGUGGAUUAAUUCGAUGCAACGCGAAGAACCUUACCUGGGUUUGACAUGCACAGGACGUGCCUAGAGAUAGGUAUUCCCUUGUGGCCUGUG
This 639-nucleotide ribosomal RNA is filed under the name Mycobacterium sp. Se3Pw_3401. RNAcentral's name for it is "bacterial SSU rRNA". It matches the Rfam family "Bacterial small subunit ribosomal RNA", at positions 381 to 1032 of the family's 1533-position model. The record is from RNAcentral. Lineage: Bacteria; Bacillati; Actinomycetota; Actinomycetes; Mycobacteriales; Mycobacteriaceae.